UUCGCUUUGCUUGUUUUCCCGUGUCGAUGGAUUCCCUAUUAGCCAACUACGCCUCCGACGGCGACGAUGACGAGGGAGUCGAUGAUGAUAAGGCCUCCGACGGCGACGCCCCCGCUGCGAAGUCUCUCCAACUCCCUCUUCCCAAGCCUUCCUCCUCCCUCUUCUCUUCCUCUCUCCCUCCUCCCAAGUCUUCCGCGGCUCUCCUUUCCUCUUCUCUCUUCUCUUCCCUACCGGCGCCCAAAUCCAUCUCUUCCAUGCCAUCUUCGGCUCCCCAAAACCCUUCCCGCCCCAAAUCUGUCCAUCUCGGUGGAGUAGAUGGCGAGGAGGAGGAGGAAGGUGGAAUCCUUACCGCGGGUACGCCUUCUUCUACUCCCUUCCGAGCUCAAAGCUCGAUGUUCUCCGCUCUUCCUCCGCCCAAGCCCUCCUCUUAUUCCCGGCGCAAAGCCAGCCAUGUCGAAGCAGAAAACGGCGAGGAAGAAGAGAAAGGAGGGAUUUUUACCGCCGAUAUGCCCUCAUCUACCCCUGUAAUGGCGCAUAAAUCGAUGUUUUCUGCUCUUCCUCCGCCCAAGGACUCCUCCUCAACCUCCUUGUUUUCCUCCAUUCCUCCUCCCAAGUCCGAGCAGCCAAAUCCCCAGAAGAUCACGAAUCCCCCUUCUUCUGAUCGAAACCCUAAGAGGGUCGUCCAGUUUAAACUUCCUCUGAACCCUUCCAUGCUGAAAAGUAUAGAUUUCGAUGACGACGAUGACGAUGAGGAGGACAAGGAGAGGAGAAACGUCAAGGAUUCCUUUUCAGUUGCCACAAAGGCGUCAUCUUCCGUCUCUUCCAUGCUUCCUGCCCCCAAGAAUACUUUUGGCUUGGCGCGAUCAGCUGCCUCGGCUUCAUCGAGGAGAUCGAUUGUUGAAGCAGAUGUUCCUGCAGGCGAGCAAGGAGGCACUUCUUCGGUGCAGGAAAGUUUUGGUUUUGGGGAUUCCGGGAGUUAUCACGGUGGUUUGGUUGGUGCACCACCGGAAACUGGGACUGAUGGGUCAGGAGAUUUGGGCUUUCCAGGUAGCACCAAUGAUGUUGGUUGGGAUCCGUCAGGGGUGGAGGGAACAAUUUAUUCAGGCUUUGACGAUAGCAGUGCUGCUGCUUAUUGGGAUCCAAGUUAUGGAGGUGCUGUGAAUUACGAGAGUUACGAGGGAAAUUGGUCUGAAGGGACUGCUGCAGUGGUUUCCGAAGCUCCAGACAUGACGAAGAUUGCUGGGAAGAGAGGCAGGAAUGAUAUUCCUACAGAAAUUGUGGAGGUAAAGCAAGAUGAGUUGAUGAAGAAUAGACCCAGGCAGGACCAGAGUAAGCUGACUGGGAUAGCUUUUGGACCGUCUUAUCAGCCGGCUUCUUCAGCCAAGGGAAAACCUUCAAAGCUGCAUAAGAGAAAGCAUCAAAUUGGGUCAUUGUACUUUGACAUGAAGCAGAAGGAGAUGGAACUUGCAGAACGCCGUGCUAAGGGCCUUCUUACAAAAGCAGAAACACAUGCCAAUCACUCUUCCCCAAGUUGGGGUCACUGAAUCCAGAACUUCCCUAAUAAACUGAGUAGGAAAAAUGAACAUGUGAUUUGGUGACACAUGCUUUUCUCCAACAGUUGCUGCUGCUAUAGCCAUUCAGAGAAGCUGCAGAUUAGGUUGGUGACGUGUGGUGGAGUUUGUCUCUGUGGCCUUGGUGGCACACAGGUUUUGGUUCCAUUCAGAUGGCUUUAGAUGUUGAUGGCAGCAGAAAUUGAAUGGCUUCCACUGUUUGCUUGCCUGGUGGGAUCAGGUUAUGAGGCAUUAAUCAAGAGCUAGUUUGGUUAUUUGACAUGUGGAAGAAACUCAAGUUAGUUCUGUCUGCAAUAUGACUUCCAUAUGCCUGCUGAAGUUAAACAGAGUUAGGAUCUGAAUCAUGAUGCAGGAUGGAAUGCCUAUUCAAAAAACCUUCUGGAUCCAAAGAAAUCAGUUAGAAAAAGCUUUCUGGAAUUUUUUUUUUAUGAGCAGCGGAAAUUUAUGGGAGGUGCUGAUUUUGUCUUGAACUGCAGCAGUUUUGUGAUUUGAUAGGGCAGACAUUCCUUAUAUCACAGUUGGUAAACCACUUCCUGGGAGAUGAUGAUUUUUUGUUGAUCUCUUCAUUAAAUUGGAACAAGACAUUUGCAAGCCCUGAAUUAGAGCAGCUUUUGAGUCUUUGUCAAGAGAACACAUGGAAAACAAGACAUGAGAUCUCAUCACCAAACAAGACAUGAUGGCUUGAUGAUUGAUCAAGUGGCAUCUUUGUGAAUGAUUUUAGUCCAUUGAUAGCCAGAAGAUGAUCCAAAUGAUGCAUAAUUGAGCAUGGCAAAUAAUGCCAGCCACUAGGAUUGCUUUGUCUCUAAGCAUACAUGUCCAUGUGCACACUUAUGGAAAGAUAGGGAUUAACAGAUCAAACAUCACAGUGGUCCUGCAAUAACACAGUUGUUUAGAUGAGAUAAUGAUGGCAUGCAAUCCAAGGAUUACUGUCGUGCCAUCGCAGCUUAAGAGUUAUUGGUGCAUCGAGCGUGCCAGCGUAUAACUUUGUUUCCAAUCCUCAACCUGUAAGUCUUUAUUCAUGUUUUGCAGUGUUGAUUACAAUUGCUAAGAUUAUUGUGACACUGAUGGUCAUCCUUCUUUUAUCAUGCUGUAAUAACACUCAUUCUCAUCUCAGUAAUUCAAAUUGGAGAAACCUUUUGUUGUUUCA
Musa acuminata AAA Group (dessert banana) is the source of this 2718-nucleotide RNA transcript. RefSeq lists it as uncharacterized. The transcript is spliced from 4 exons. Lineage: Eukaryota; Viridiplantae; Streptophyta; Magnoliopsida; Zingiberales; Musaceae. The record is from RefSeq and is a predicted model, not a curated record.